Molecule: long non-coding RNA, 2605 nt
Organism: Glycine soja
Lineage: Eukaryota; Viridiplantae; Streptophyta; Magnoliopsida; Fabales; Fabaceae
Exons: 4
Source: RefSeq, a predicted model, not a curated record
ACCAUAGAGACCUCAGGAAAACCCUAAACCUCCCCUCCAAUGCGCGCGUUUUCGUCGUCGACAGCCACCGCCCCAUCCACCUCUGCAACCUCAGCGACCAAAAUGACGUCGUUGUGGUUCUCUUCACUAAAGAAGACGAAGGACAAUCCGAUCUUUCUUAUGAUUUCGACCUCACCACACUCGCCAAUGCCGCCACCACCGUCAAUUCUGAUUUCGAUUCCGAAUCUGAGUUCGAAUCGGAUUCCAACUCUGGCUCCGAGAGAUUGAGUGACGAGAGGUACCAUGAUGGAGUCAUGGAGCUCGAGCAGCACAUAAACAGUUCUGGUAACCUGGAUAUGGUUACUUCGGUUACUCUCAAGGAUGGUACCAAGAUUCGUGCCCCAAAUUCUUUGCGAAUUACUUAUGAGAACCAGCCGAGGCUUAUGUUGUUGCAGGAGUGGAGCCUCUUUGACUCCAUGAUGUGCUCCUCGUACAUUGCCACCAAGUUGAAGAUGUGGAGUGAGAACAGGAUAAAGAAGCUGAAGCUUCUAUUCGGGACGAUGGGGUUUGCUCUUGGUGAUUGCUAGAAGAAGUUUCAGCACAUGAAUUUGGAGGUGAAAAAAUUGUAUUUUCUAAAAAAAUAUGUUUUUUAAAACUUUGUUAACUUUAUUAUAUAAGUGUAUUUUUGUUAAGCUUCGUUAUUCUUAAUCGUCAUAUUGUUCGUUAUGCUGGCAAGCGUAUAUAAUAAUGAUAUUUUUUUUUAUUCACAGCAAGCAUAAGUGCGUACGUGCGUCCAUGGCAGUUUUUUUAGUUGCUAGCUGCUUAAUUACAUAUGUUCUGCAUAUUAUAUAUUAUAUAUUGAUUAUUAAUGGUUGGUGUAGUGUGUUCGUAUGCAAUCCUAGGAGUUUUUUCAUCUUGUUAUCACUAGUGUUGCGAUAAUCUGUUAUAUACUGCAACGCCCCUCCCACAUCUUAUCCAUAUCUUGGCAAGCGCAUAUAAUAAUGAUAUUUUUUUAUUCACAGCAUGCAUAAAUGCGUACGUGCGUCCAUGGCAGUUUUUUUAGUUGCUACCUACUUAAUUACAUAUGUUCUGCAUAUUAUAUAUUAUAUAUUGAUUAUUGAUGGUUGGUGUAGUGUGUUCGUAUGCAAUCCUAGGAGUUUUUUUCAUCUUGUUAUUAUAUAAGUGUAUUCUUUUAAGCUUCGGUAUUCUAAACAAAAUGAUAUUUGGAGUGCUGGCGUCAUAUUGUUCAUUUUGCUCUCUGGUGUCCCUCCCUUCUGGUCAGAAAAGGAACAGGGUAUAUUUGAUGCUAUUCUUCGUGGCCAUAUUGAUUUCGCAUCAGAUCCUUGGCCUUCCAUAUCAAGUAUUGCCAAAGAUCUGGUUAAGAAGAUGUUACAAGCUGACCCCAAACAAAGACUCUCUGCAGUUGAAGUUCUUAAUCAUCCUUGGAUGAGAGAAGAUGGAGCAUCUGAUAAACCUCGAUCUAGAUGUUGCUGUUUUAUCCAGAAUGAAACAAUUUAGGGCAAUGAACAAGCUAAAUAAAGUUGCUCUAAAGUUUAUCUUUGGGAGUUCUCAAUCUUGCAAUUGUGGUACCACAGGUUAGAACCCACUUACUCAUAUAUUAACAGCUUGAAAGUUAGGACUGGCCUAUUAUGUCGUUAUCGUUCUCCAGAAUAUUAAUAGCUUGAAAGUACAAGACCAAGAGUUUUAAUUGUGAAUUAAGAGGCAUUUUUGCCUAUUAUUGUUGUUUGGUUGAGAAAUAAAAUUGAUCAUUUUUAAGAUGUGCACUGCACUACUCAUCAUAUAACUAUAGGCUUUCCAAUUUUCCCUGGUUCCUAUUAGAUCUCUUAGCACGUGCUAGUCCUUCAUAAGGUUUUUGGAAGCCAUUAUAAGAAUUUUAUAAACCUAUCAUAUCAUUACUAAUGGCCUUAGCUGAUGAUAGAUUCCAUUUUUUGCUGGGUUUAAUUAAAAUACAUUUAAACUAGUGUAUUUUUCCUUUCCUCUUGUAAUAUCCAUAGUAAUGCCUAAAAUUAAAUACAUUCAUUAUGAAAUAUAAAAAUGAAGUUAAGACACCAUCUAAUGCUUUUUGCCUCAUUCCUUAUUAUUUUAUAUCAAAAUGAAUUUCAGUUUUUUUGGAUGAUUGUCCCAUAUCCCAUUUAUUGCAAGGACCUUCUAAAUUUAGUUUAGCAACAUAUCGAGUGAAUUAGUGCCAAUACAUAUUCCCUUCUAGCAUACUUGUUCAUGUUAGAUUGUGAUAUAACAACAUGUGCUUACAAUGUAUCCAACAACUAGUAUUAUAUACUAGGAGGGAAGUUUAUAGGACUGGCUUAAUUGUUUGGCAAAGACAGAUAAGGAGAGGACACUUGAGGAAAGAUGUUGCGGCUGAUAGAGAAUCAUGAUCGCGUAGUCAGGAGAUGUGGAUGGAAUCGAGCACCAUGUUGACGAUGCUCAAGUUGAUCAUUGACUCUUGGCUAUUGUUUUAAUUUGAUUAUGUCAUGUUAGUUAUGAAUUUAAACUAUAUUAAACUUUCACAUUGCAUUUUAUUGAACUUUGCAUUUGCACUUUAUCAAUAUUUAAUUAGAACUUUGUUAUUAGAUGUAUUUACAUAUUAUGAAUGUUCACUUUUAUA